Molecule: long non-coding RNA, 1562 nt
Organism: Tyto alba (common barn owl)
Lineage: Eukaryota; Metazoa; Chordata; Aves; Strigiformes; Tytonidae
Exons: 3
Source: RefSeq, a predicted model, not a curated record
UGCUUAAAGUUGUGAAAAACAGGAUGUUGAACAGGGAUGUGCUUACCGCAAAAAUGCUGAAGUAUUGCAAAGUAUGCAAAACUUGUUAUCCAAUCAGAAUGUAUGUUAUGCUUGUGUUUGUCGCGUGAACAGUAGUGAUAAGCCAAUGAGCUUGCUUGACAAGGCGUGUGAUUGCAUGUACGGAACAUUAGGACAUUAUAAAAAGAGAACAUAUCACGGAAUAAACCGAAGCUGAUUUACUCAUCAUAUUGAUGUGUCUUGCUUCCCCGUCUUCGGCCGCGGCAGACAAUAAAGAAAUAAUAUCCAAAUCCAGAAGGAGGAAGUUCAACAGGAGAAUAAGAUCUAGAAAGGUGUAGAUCUUAAGGAGCCCAAUUUUCUUUCAUCUCAAAAGGAGCUAAAGCUGCUAAGGAGAUUUCAACAAAGGUACAGAACUGGACCUUAAAGGUAAAAAGAAAGAACUAGCAGACAAUGAUGAAGAAGAAGAUACUAAUAGUCCAAGUGUGUAAGAAGCAUCAAGUGUUCAGUGACCUCACCAGCAGAUCCCAUCAACCUCUAAGUGUGGGCCCUUCUUAGGACCCAACACUCUCUCCGUGUUUAUUCUCACCAGGACAGAAGGUACGAGAUGUAUGAUAGCAGCAUGUGGAGCCAGGAAGAGCCUUUCAGUACAGCUGCAAACUGCAAGUACAGGAGGGUGUGGGGAGAACAGCUGGAAGCUCAAGAAGAAACAGGGAUGUCAUGAAUCACACUUCCUUCCUAGGCUGCUCCUGGAGCAGCAGGGCUCUUUAUUAUGAGUUUAGAGCAAGAUCCUACUCACCGACUGCUCUUUUUCUAAUACAAUAUCUCACAGUCUCAAGAACUCUCUGUGGGAAAACAGCCAAAUCUGAAGGAAGAGAAUAUGAAGGCGGCAUGAGAAUUACCUUCAAGUAUGCAAAGAAGGGAGCAGUCUCCACAGAAGUGGAGUCUAGGAGAGAAAAAAAAAAGAAAAAAGAAAAAGACUAAUCUUCAGCAAAGACAACUUCCAUUAGAUACUCAGCAGAACUUUAUAACGGUGAGGACAGUGAAUCUCAGCGAUGGGUUACUUGAAAAGGGCUAUAUUUUGGCAAGCUCUAAGAGCCAUUUAGACAAGCAUCUAACAGCAAUGACAUGAGUAGAGCUUAUGCAGCUUUGGCACAAGAAGAUGGACUAUGUGAGCCUUCUGGAUUCUUUCCAGCUCUACUAGACUGUGUACAAAACAAUAGUCACAGCUAAUCUGCAUUUGCAGGUUUGUUUCUGCCAAAAAUAAAGGCUAGAAUAAGGUGAAUAUGAAACUGUGGCUCUUAAUUUAUCUACCUACACGAUUCCUACUGGUGGGGUUUCUCUACAUGUCAAGCAGAGAGAACCUUUAUUUGCAUUGUCUCAUCCAGGUCACAUAGAGGAAAAAUAUUAGAAUUCAAUUUCUCUGCAUUGCAGGAUCAAGAGCUGAGUCAAUCCUGCUGGGAUUCAACCCACGUUCCAGGGAGCCUAAGUAUUUCAUAUUUGAUGUUUAAAACUCUAACCAAAUAAAAUUUGUACUGGGAGAUGUA